UACCGCGGUUGUAACCGCGGCCUAAAGUCUUUGACUUACUACCGCGGUAAAAUAUACCGCGGUUCGUAAACCGCGACCUAUAGUGAAAAAUAACCGCGGUUGUUAGACAUUACAACAGGGGAAAAAAAUGCAUUGUUACUAUGUUCAACGUGGUUGUUAGUUGGCAUUCUAGUUGUUCUUCUGGCCUUCUCUUCAGCUAACUCUGCCUCCAACACAUCCACCUUCAUUUUAAGUUCUUCAAUCAGACAUUCUUGCUCCUUAGCACUACAACACAUCCACCUCCAACCCAAAACCCAACAAUGCAAAACAAAAACCCAAAAGUCGAACAACACAAAAACCCAAGUACCCUAACAAAAAACCCAAAACCCAACAACGCAUUUACCUUCCUACAACGAAGCUACUGUUCGGGAAUUUCCAUUUCCACCAAACGCGACAACGGAGAACCAAAAACCAAACGUCACACAGACCAAGCAGGGGGCAACUACAAGGCAGGGAAGAACGAAAUGAGAGAGAGAACGAAAUCUGAGAAAAACACAAUGGAACAGCCAAAGGGUAUAUUUGGAAUGGAAAAUUUUCCAAAUUCUAUUCAUUUUGGUUCAUAGAUUUAAAAAAAAAAGAAAAAAAAACUAACCAAUGCCAGCUUGACACGUAUGUGUGUCAAAACUGUGUCAAAAAAGUUGUGUUAAAAUAAUGGGAUCCAUAACAAAAAGAGGGCUUUCAAACAAAGUAUUAAAAGCAGAAAAUUUUGAAAGUCUUCGGUUCAAUUUUUCCUUCAUAUUGGAUAUAUUUAACUUUGAAAAGACAACUAAAGAAACUAUAUAAAAACCUAACUUGAGUUUUGAUACAUUAUACUUGCAAAUGAAUUUAAAUAUUUAAAAAUCAC
This 883-nucleotide long non-coding RNA is filed under the name Vigna radiata. RNAcentral's name for it is "long non-coding RNA (VRAD_LNC000313)". Lineage: Eukaryota; Viridiplantae; Streptophyta; Magnoliopsida; Fabales; Fabaceae. The record is from RNAcentral.